RNAcentral lists this small RNA (692 nucleotides) under Pongo abelii (Sumatran orangutan). Its description in RNAcentral is "retained intron". Lineage: Eukaryota; Metazoa; Chordata; Mammalia; Primates; Hominidae. The record is from RNAcentral.
GGACGCAAUGAGGCGGAGGCCCAGGAGAAGGCAGCCAAGGAGUUCGGAGUGUCCCCUGACAAGAUCAGUCUCCAGCAAGGCAAGGCGGGGCUUUGAGGGUUUGGAGGGAGUUGUGGGGGGCAGAGCUCCACUCCCUCUGACCUCUGACCUUUGGCCUCUCUCAGAUGAGGAUGUAUUGGAUACCUGGUUCUCCUCCGGCCUCUUCCCUUUAUCCAUUUUGGGCUGGCCCAACCAGGUGUGUUCCUGGGGCCAGGGCUUGGCGGGACAGGGGACUGGAGGGUGGAUGUUGGCUCCCCUUCACACCCUGGUCUGCCCUCAGUCAGAAGACUUGAGUGUGUUCUACCCUGGGACACUGCUGGAGACCGGUCACGACAUCCUCUUCUUCUGGGUAGCCCGGAUGGUCAUGCUGGGCCUGAAGCUCACGGGCAGGCUGCCCUUUAGAGAGGUCUACCUCCAUGCCAUCGUGCGAGAUGCUCACGGCCGGAAGAUGAGCAAGUCUCUAGGCAAUGUCAUCGAUCCCCUGGACGUCAUCUAUGGAAUCUCCCUGCAGGUGGGCUGGGUGCUGGGCCAGCCAGGAAGGGCCGUGGGGCUGUGGUCACAGCCACCUGACGGCUCCCACUCCACCCUCAGGGCCUCCACGACCAGCUGCUGAACAGCAACCUGGAUCCCAGCGAGGUGGAGAAGGCCAAAGA